This 1038-nucleotide ribosomal RNA is filed under the name actinobacterium HA-est-Is56-28. RNAcentral describes it as "bacterial SSU rRNA". It matches the Rfam family "Bacterial small subunit ribosomal RNA", at positions 397 to 1444 of the family's 1533-position model. The record is from RNAcentral. Lineage: Bacteria; Bacillati; Actinomycetota; Actinomycetes.
CCGCGUGAGGGAUGACGGCCUUCGGGUUGUAAACCUCUUUCAGUAGGGAAGAAGCGAAAGUGACGGUACCUGCAGAAGAAGCACCGGCUAACUACGUGCCAGCAGCCGCGGUAAUACGUAGGGUGCGAGCGUUAUCCGGAAUUAUUGGGCGUAAAGAGCUCGUAGGCGGUUUGUCGCGUCUGUCGUGAAAGUCCGGGGCUUAACCCCGGAUCUGCGGUGGGUACGGGCAGACUAGAGUGCAGUAGGGGAGACUGGAAUUCCUGGUGUAGCGGUGGAAUGCGCAGAUAUCAGGAGGAACACCGAUGGCGAAGGCAGGUCUCUGGGCUGUAACUGACGCUGAGGAGCGAAAGCAUGGGGAGCGAACAGGAUUAGAUACCCUGGUAGUCCAUGCCGUAAACGUUGGGCACUAGGUGUGGGGACCAUUCCACGGUUUCCGCGCCGCAGCUAACGCAUUAAGUGCCCCGCCUGGGGAGUACGGCCGCAAGGCUAAAACUCAAAGGAAUUGACGGGGGCCCGCACAAGCGGCGGAGCAUGCGGAUUAAUUCGAUGCAACGCGAAGAACCUUACCAAGGCUUGACAUGUUCUCGAUCGCCGUAGAGAUACGGUUUCCCCUUUGGGGCGGGUUCACAGGUGGUGCAUGGUUGUCGUCAGCUCGUGUCGUGAGAUGUUGGGUUAAGUCCCGCAACGAGCGCAACCCUCGUUCCAUGUUGCCAGCACGUMRUGGUGGGGACUCAUGGRAGACUGCCGGGGUCAACUCGGAGGAAGGUGAGGACGACGUCAAAUCAUCAUGCCCCUUAUGUCUUGGGCUUCACGCAUGCUACAAUGGCCGGUACAAUGGGUUGCGAUACUGUGAGGUGGAGCUAAUCCCAAAAAGCCGGUCUCAGUUCGGAUUGGGGUCUGCAACUCGACCCCAUGAAGUCGGAGUCGCUAGUAAUCGCAGAUCAGCAACGCUGCGGUGAAUACGUUCCCGGGCCUUGUACACACCGCCCGUCAAGUCACGAAAGUUGGUAACACCCGAAGCCGGUGGCCUAACCCUUG